This 23-nucleotide non-coding RNA is filed under the name Arabidopsis thaliana (thale cress). The record is from RNAcentral. Lineage: Eukaryota; Viridiplantae; Streptophyta; Magnoliopsida; Brassicales; Brassicaceae.
CAAAACCCCAAAGCCAGCCAACC